This 253-nucleotide ribosomal RNA is filed under the name uncultured bacterium. RNAcentral's name for it is "partial 16S ribosomal RNA". It matches the Rfam family "Bacterial small subunit ribosomal RNA", at positions 524 to 776 of the family's 1533-position model. The record is from RNAcentral.
UACGUAGGGUGCGAGCGUUGUCCGGAAUUAUUGGGCGUAAAGGGCUCGUAGGCGGUCUGUCGCGUCGGGAGUGAAAACUCAGGGCUUAACCCUGAGCCUGCUUCCGAUACGGGCAGACUAGAGGUAUGCAGGGGAGAACGGAAUUCCUGGUGUAGCGGUGGAAUGCGCAGAUAUCAGGAGGAACACCGGUGGCGAAGGCGGCCUGCUGGGCUAUGGCUGACACUGAGGCGCGACAGCGUGGGGAGCAAACAGG